UGUAUAUAUAGUUAAGUAGAUCUAUGUUCUAGUACUCUUUGCUAUCAUACUCGAGGGGAAAAAAUACAAGAAAGAAAGAAUAAAGAAAAAGGAAAGAAUGACAUUAAAGCCUGGAAAAGUAACAGGGCCAGCAGCUGAAUUCCUCCUUUUUGUCCUAUGAUGCAUCAUCAUGAUGAUGCUCUCGCCCCCACUCCACCAUAGCUUAUUAAUAAAAUCCUCAGUUUCCCACAAGACUCUCGCCAGUUUCUUUGCAGGUUUCAAUUUCCCUUCGGUCCGCCCACUCCCAUGCAUUAAAUUGCUUC
This 302-nucleotide long non-coding RNA is filed under the name Phoenix dactylifera (date palm). RNAcentral's name for it is "long non-coding RNA (PDAC_LNC006466)". The record is from RNAcentral. Lineage: Eukaryota; Viridiplantae; Streptophyta; Magnoliopsida; Arecales; Arecaceae.